RNAcentral lists this ribosomal RNA (435 nucleotides) under uncultured bacterium. Its description in RNAcentral is "bacterial SSU rRNA". It matches the Rfam family "Bacterial small subunit ribosomal RNA", at positions 954 to 1391 of the family's 1533-position model. The record is from RNAcentral.
AUGGGAACGCGAAGAACCUUACCUAGACUUGACAUCUCCUGAAUAGUGUAGAGAUACAUGAAGCCCUUCGGGGCAGGAAGACAGGUGGUGCAUGGUUGUCGUCAGCUCGUGCCGUGAGAUGUUGGGUUAAGUCCCGCAACGAGCGCAACCCUUAUCAUUAGUUGCUACCAUUUAGUUGAGCACUCUAGUGAGACUGCCCGGGUUAACCGGGAGGAAGGCGGGGAUGACGUCAAAUCAUCAUGCCCCUUAUGUCUAGGGCUACACACGUGCUACAAUGGUGAGAACAACGAGAUGCAAUACCGCGAGGUGGAGCAAAACUUCAAAACUCAUCUCAGUUCGGAUUGUAGGCUGAAACUCGCCUACAUGAAGUUGGAGUUGCUAGUAAUCGCGAAUCAGAAUGUCGCGGUGAAUACGUUCCCGGGUCUUGUACACACG